RNAcentral lists this unclassified non-coding RNA (289 nucleotides) under Pseudopithomyces sp. RNAcentral describes it as "partial internal transcribed spacer region". The stretch from base 1 to 46 matches the Rfam family "Eukaryotic small subunit ribosomal RNA", at positions 1786 to 1831 of the family's 1831-position model. Lineage: Eukaryota; Fungi; Ascomycota; Dothideomycetes; Pleosporales; Didymosphaeriaceae. The record is from RNAcentral.
AAGUCGUAACAAGGUUUCCGUAGGUGAACCUGCGGAAGGAUCAUUAACCUUUCAAAUCAGGGUGCGGCGCGGCCCCCGAGGAGCGGAAACAAUCCUUGGGAGGUAUGCGGGGGCUUCGAGCCCCCCAUUUACGCACGCACGACUGCCAUCCUUACUUUACGAGCACCUUCUGUUCUCCCUCGGCGGGGCAACCUGCCGUUGGAACCGAACAAACUCUUUUUGCAUCUAGCAUUACCUGUUCCGAAACAAACAAUCGUUACAACUUUCAACAAUGGAUCUCUUGGCUCUG